Neolamprologus brichardi is the source of this 711-nucleotide non-coding RNA. Lineage: Eukaryota; Metazoa; Chordata; Actinopteri; Cichliformes; Cichlidae. The record is from RefSeq and is a predicted model, not a curated record.
UGUAAAACAAAGGGGGGCCUAGCAAAAGAAGAACCCAAAUUUUAUUAAGAUAAUAUCUCUAAAUAUCAACUUAGCUUUGCUUUGCAAUUUUUUAAACUUUAUUUCAUUUUUUCAUUUAUUUAGUUUUUGUCAAUAGUUUAAAUAUAUUUUUUAUCAUUUUUUACGAUAUCGAAAUAUGACAACAUACUAUUAUGAAUACGCAUUAUCAUAAUUUAUAUAUUUAUAUUCAGACGGAUAUUUAACAGUGGUUACUUUUCACAAUUGCAUAAACAUUUGGUGAGAGUUUUAGAAACAUUUUUAUUUUUUAUACAGGAGUUAAAGUGAGUUUAUUGGAGGGAAUAAAAGUUUUUUUUCAUUUUGUAAACACGGUUUCCAUGGCAGCCGCAAAGUUCACGGAGCAAAAUAAGUUAAACCUGCGGAAGAAAAUCCACCGGGAGCAGAGCAGAGAGGUAACCGGAACCUGCCACCGCUCCAGGCCUCAACAAUAAUCCUGAAAUAUGGACCACAACAAUAUUUACCUGAGCUACCCUGACCCCGCCUACCAGCAGGUUCAGCAGCCAUGGCUGGUCCAUGACAAUCCGACCCUUCAGGAAGGAUAUAUACCAGUGUUUCAGCAGGAGAACAUGGUCCUGGGGGAUCCUAACACACUGGAAUAUCAGACACUGAGAGCCGACGCUCACAUAUUUAACGGAGAGUCCUGUGACCCACCUG